GUAGGUGUUGGAGUAAUCGUAGGAUCAUGUCGAAAAUGUGAUAGUUGUACCAAUGACCUCGAACAAUAUUGUUCUAGCAGUAUUGGCACGUAUAGUACAACUUACUAUGACGGAACCACCACACACGGAGGCUACUCCGAUCUCAUGGUAGCCAACGAGCAUUUCGUGCUCCGUUGGCCGGAGAAUUUACCGAUGGAUGCUGCCCCAUUGUUGUGUGCUGGUAUCACAACAUAUAGCCCAUUGAGAUAUUUUGGGCUUGAUAAGCCUGGAUUGAACAUUGGUGUUGUGGGCCUUGGUGGGCUGGGCCAUAUGGCUGUGAAAUUUGCAAAGGCUUUUGGAUGCAAUGUGACUGUUAUUAGUACUUCUAUUAAUAAGAAGGAUGAAGCAAUUAAACAUCUUGGUGCUAAUUCAUUCUUGAUUAGUCAUGAUCAAGAACAAAUCAGGUAUUUUUUCUCACUGGUUUAGGAGCAAAUUGUUUCCAUUUACACGAAUUUUCAAUUUUAUGAAUCUUACCAAAAUUUGGAUUUCGGAUACAUGAGGCUUAAUUAAAAUUAAGUGAAUUUGUUCCAGAUAUAUUGUAUCCAAAUGGAUUUGUAUGUACCUGAUCCUCGCGCUGCCUCUCGCCUAUCUCCUCUCUCGCUCACCUCUCUCCCUAUCUACCUGUAUUUCAAAAUGUAUCUGGUAUCCCAUAUACAUGUAUCUAGUGUGAUUCGCAUGUAUCUGGGAUACAUAGACUAUCUCGCUCGCCUUUUUCCUUCUCUUGCUCCCCUUUCUCCUUAUUUCAGUGUAUUUGGUAUGGAAUUAUUAAUUUGUGAGACAAUAUGUAAUUAUUUCAAACUAUAGAGAGAAUUAGUAAAUAUGAUACGAAUAUUUGUGUAAUUAGACAGGUUUUUGUUGAAACAAUGUACAUGUCGGGUCAUAAGUCCUCUGACAUGUUUGCUUACAUUGAAACGGUAUGUGAGCUAGGAUUGAUAUAAUAUUCUCUUCGUUUUAAUUUGUUUGUCUGAUCACACAUUAUAAUACAAGUUGUAUUAUUAUUAUUAUUAUUAUUAUUAUUAUUAUUAUGCAGGGUGCAACAAGCACAUUGGAUGGAAUUAUAGACACAGUUUCAGCAGAACAUCCAAUUGCUCCAUUGCUCAAUAUAUUAAAGCCUCAUGGAAAGCUUGUAAUGGUUGGUUUACCACCAAAGCCACUUGAGUUGCCAGCUUGGCCUUUGCUUAUGGGUAACAGAAAUAACUCGAACUUGUUAGUAAAUUUCAUGUCAUUUAAACACUUGAACUAUGGUCUAUUUUGACUAAGCACAUGAUAAAGUGUUGUUAUUAUCAAUUGCGUAGAUAAGUAUAACUACUAAAAAUAUGUCACUUCUUUUAAUCAUAUGCACUAGCCUCAAUAAGCUGUAAAACCUCAAGCUUAUUCCAGUUGAGGCUAAUGCAUAUAAUUAAAGUAUAUAACAUAUUUUAUGCAGUUAACUUAUCUAUGUGAUAGGUCAUGAGAACACGUAUAAAAGCUUUUCUAUAAUUUAAGCUGAAAGUAUCUAAUAUGAACACUUUAUUAUGUGUUACAUGGCUCAUUGAAAUAGGUCGUAAUCGAGUGCCUAAAUAAAAUUUACUAGAAAAUUUAAAUGAUUGUCGAUGUGUUCCGCUGAUUUUUUCAAUAUUGUUCUAAUAACAUCUACUUAAAUUUUUAUAGGUAGGAAAAUAAUGGGAGGAAGCAUCAUUGGAGGAAUGGAAGAGACCCAAGAAAUGCUUGAUUUUGCAGCAAAACAUAAUAUUACACCUCAAGUUGAAGUUGUUUCACUGAAUUAUGUGAAUAUUACCAUGGAACGCCUUUUGAAAUUGGAUGUCAAGUAUCGAUUCGUGCUCGGUAUUGGGAAAACAUCGAAAGCUGGGUGUAAGCUGAUCUGAAUAUUAGCGUUAUGAAUUUAAAAUAAAACAACAAAUUAUGGCCAAAAUAUAGAUUUUUGGCCAUUAGGGUGGGUUUCUUAUCUGAAAUUUUCACCCUUUUAAGUCUUUGUUAUUUUGAAUUUCUAAUCUUCAAAUUUGUUUUUAUAUCUCAUUUUCGCAAAUUUAAGGCUUCAAUUAUCCAUUAUAUUUUAUUUAUAUGUCUAAAUUAUCAUUUUCCCCCAAAUUUCAUACCUCAACUAUAUAUUGUUCUAUUUAUUUACCUGCCUAAAGUAUGAUCGCCUUUUUAUUAGUUUCAUACCUCAACUAUCAAUUGAGCAUCAAAACACACGUCGAUGCUAAGUUAAAAUAGUUAAUUCUUAUUUAUGUAUUUUAUUACCAGCUACUACACCCAAGCCCAAAACAAAGUUCAGUAAUGGGCCAAAAGUCUAAAUUUACUCCAAAAUUGGGCCCAGGCAGUGCAUAUGUGAUUGGCACCUUUUUAAACAUAGCCAUGUUUUUCAAAAACUAUUUAAAGUUUAACCACUUUUUAAUAAAUUAAACAAAACUUAAAUAAACACAAUUCUUAACUUGUUACGGAAAACUUUAGACCUUAAGUUUAAUGUUCCGAGCUUGAAGUUGGCCUCAAGGAAAUAUUAUUGAGUUUGAAUUUCAAAUUCGACUAUGAAGUUUGAAGAGCCAAUUAAUUUUAAAAUUUUCAUUAUAAAGUUUGCAAAGACAAUUUUAAAUUAUUUUUUUACUCUCUUCCCCUAAGUUAGGGUGGGGACUCUACAAAAUAUAUUAUUAUUAAUAUUGUUGUUAAAACCUUGACUAUGUUUUAAAUUGUAAUGCUACAAACAACUAUUUAUUCACUUCUUCCUCCCAAUUGUUCUCAGUAAAGCAGAAUCGAAUAUACGUAUAACAAAUGGUACAUAUUUACCUUUUUUCUAUUAAGGGUCUGAUUUUUUUUUAAUAAAAAUAUCGUAAAACUUGAUUUUUAAUUCCAAAAAUACCAAGUGAUUUUCAAAAAAAAAAUAUCUCACCUAUGAACCCAAAUAAUUAAAGACCACCCAACUAACAUAACAUUUUUUUGAUAAUCCAUCAUUAAUUAAGAUUAGCAAUUAAUAUUUAUUGUUUGACAAUAAAAUUUAUCUGUCACUAAUUAUUUUUUUGAAUGAAUAUCUCAUAAUUCAAAAUAAAAUCCGAACAUAAAAACAUCAAAAAAGAAAUAAAAAAACGGUAGUUUAGAAAAAUGAGAGUACUGUCAAUUGAAAUAGAGUGGAUUUAAGACUCGAUAAUAUGAUCUAACGAUUAAUAAAACAAAAAUACAAAAAUUACAAAAGAUUAAAAUUCAAAUCUCACCAUUAAGAAAUAGACCUGUAUACAUCAUCCUUUAAAAUAUGUCAUAGUUUGCAUACAAACCUGAAUCAACAAAUAUAUAUUAAAAAAUAUUUGACGAUUCAGGUGUGUUGCAAUCUUUGACAUACAAAGGCUAUCAAAUAGCUGCAAAAAAAAAAAAACAAUAGAAUAAAAAUGUGUAUGAAUUGAUGUGAGGCUUCAAAAAGUUAGUAGUGUUUAUAUAGAUAUAUUGGGUAAUGUUAAAAGAAAAUCUUGGCCGUUGAAUUUAUUCCCAAUAAAAUAUUUGGAGGCUGUGUUUAUAUUACUUAGAAAACCCUAGUUAUGUGUAAUUUACAUUUGUAUCCCUUCAGAAUCUACAUAUAUAUAGAUAUUGUUGUUUGCACCCAUAAAUUAAUUCAAAUAUCAAAUUAUUCAAAAGAAUAUCAUAUACGUUAUCCUUGAAGUAUGUCAUAGUUUUCAUACGAACCUGAAUCGACAUAUGUAUUAUAUAUGAUUUAUAUAUGUUAUUCAGACUCAUAAAAACAAUGAACGCACAAUAUUUUUAAAAAGUCUGAACAAUAUUCAUACAUUGUCGAUUCAGGUGCGUAUCGAAGCUUUGACAUACAAGGCUAUAGAUCAAAAAAGUAUUUGAGAGUUGAAAAAAAAGUGAAGCAAAGUGAAUAUGAGUCUUCAAAAAAGUUGCUAGACAUAUAUAAGAUAUAUUGAAAUUAUUUCCUACUAUAAUAAGUUUGUUUGGAGGCUGUGUUUAUAACAUUUAGAAAACCCUAAUUCUAUGAAAUUACAUUAUAGCCCUCUUAGAUAUUUAUAUUAUGACAUUAUUAACCUUGAUGUAUUCAUGUUGGGCAUCUCAUUAUAUUGUUGCACUCAAUAUAUUAUAUGGCAUAAGAAAGGGCUAAUUAAUUUCAUUUGUAUGACAUAAGAAAGGGCUAAUUAUUUAAUUAAUUAUACUGUCUGAUUAUUGUUGCUAAAUGUUCACUAAAAUUUCAAUUGAAGGGCAAUGGUUUCUACCUUUCCCAUUUCAUUGAAGCAUGUAAUAAUCUCCUUGAUCUUUAUUGUUUUGUUACGUUUUUUUCUUGAGCCGGAUCUAUCGAAAAAUAACCUUUCUAUUUUUCAAUGUAGAGGUACAAUCUACAUACACACUAUUAGCUUCGGAUCUCACUUAUGAUCGUGUUAGACUACUCUAUGUUAAAAGUAGGUUCUCAAUGCACGGAUUUAUAAAUGAAAACUUUAAUUGUGUUGUCUAUGAGUGUCUGAUAUUUGUCGUCUACAUAAGUAUUUAAGUUCAGCUAGCUAAUUAGAGUGAUGUUUUUAACAUAGUUAAUAGUUUAGAGACGAAAGACCAAAUUCAGAUUUUUUUUUCAUAAAAUCACCUACCUUGUUUCCAUAAGGCCUGCUUUUUUGUCUUUCUUUUCUGUUUUGAAACAAAAAUGCUAAGGAUAAUAAUUUCUUUUUUUCUUUUUUUCUCCAAUCAUGCUUUUAUUUGUUUCAAAACAAAACUUUAACGUUUAUUUUGAGGGAUAAAGGAUUAUAACUUCGAGACCAAAUUCAGGAUUAGUUUGUCUCAUGUUUGGUCGGAUUUUUAAAAAGAGUUUUGAAUUAGUAAUUAUAUUAUUUAUUUUUACAUUAAAUGAUUAACUAAAAAUAUAUUUUCUUUUCCUUCAUUUUAUUUUACUUAGCGUUUAUACUAAAAAUAGAUUAUUACGUAUUUUUUUACUUGUCUAUUUUAAUAAAUUAAGAGAAAUUCAUUAUUUUUCUCCCAGUACUACACCGUUAUCAUUACAUAACUACAUAAAAUAUAAGUUGCCAAAUUUAAAUUAUCAAAACAUAAUUAAUAAGGUUAAUUUAUGAAAAAGUAAACCCCUAACAAUUUUUUUUUUUUUAAAACUAUCAAGUCAAUAUAGAUCAAAUAAAACGAACAGAAGGAAAGAGUAUAUAUAUAUAUAUAUAUAUAUAUAUUAUUUUAUCUCUUUUUGCACGUUUUUAUCCUUUAGAGAUUAGAAAUUGAGAAAUGAAUGAACCAAUCAACCAAAAUCUAACGUUUUUUUUUUAUAAAUAUGAAUACCAAAUGGGCAUUUGGUUUUAAUUUUAUACACAUUUUCUUCUGUUUCAACUUUUUGUUUUGGUUAUUAUAUUUUUAGGUGAAUUUUAAUUAACUUUACUUUGGGGGAAAAAAUGGCAAAAUCCUAUGAAAUUGAGCACCCAAUUAAGGCAUUUGGAUGGGCAGCUAGAGACACUUCUGGUGUUCUUUCUCCUUUCAAUUUCUCAAGAAGGUAUAGUUUCUUUCUGCUCAAUAUUCAAUAUUCAUUUUAGGGUUCGAGAAUUCGCGUGUUUCAUAUUCAUUUUUAGUGGAGACACUAUUAAUAAAAAGAAAAAAUCAUUCUCAGAAACUUGAACUCGAGGGUUCUGAUUAAGGACUAUACAACCUAUAUUAAUUAGUAUAUAUAUACCUUUCCUUUUUUAAUAUAGUGGUGUUUAGAUCGAUUUGUGUCUACAUACUAUGUACAUUUUUAAAAUUGUAUAUAGUAGUUGAAACGAUUUUCACUAUGAAGUUUAUCAUACAUAAAACUUGACCUUAAUUAUAUAUAUAUUAUUUUUUACAUCAAAGAAGGUUCGGAUGAUCCCUUUCCGCUCCCUCUGGCUCCACCCAUGAUUAUACAUAAUAUUGAGUUUAACUCUAGUUUUGUUAAGAUCAUAGUGUUUUAAAAUGCUCAAUUUCUAAUUUUUUUAAUUAUUAUUAUUAUUAUUUAUUAUUAUUAUUUUUUUAUUUUUUUUUUUAUUAUUAUUAUUUGUGUGUGUAGGGCUACUGGGGAGAAUGAUGUACAAUUCAAAGUGUUGUAUUGUGGAAUUUGUCACUCAGAUCUUCAUAUGCUCAAGAAUGAAUGGGAUAAUUCCAAGUACCCUAUUCUGCCUGGGUAAAUUCAUUAUUUUCCAUUCUAAUUUCCUUCAAUAUACUUGCAUAAUAUAUGCAAAAUUAACUAGUAUUUUAGUAUUCUUUUCUUAAAUUUUACUAUUAUCUAUUAAUAUGGUUGCUUUGUUUAUUGCUGUUGUUAUUUUUCUUUCAAUUCUGUUAUGAUCGAUUACACUUUUUCUAACCUCUCUAUAGGGCUACACCAAAAAAUAGGAAUAAAUUAUGUAUAUAUCUUAUUUGUCACUGACCUUGCUUAUAAAGUUACACCGAGUAUGUUAUCGUUGUUUGUGGAGAAAAAAGGAAAGAAUAAAAUUGCAUAAAUUCACUCACCUUGUUUCCUCUGGCCUGCUUGUUUGUCUUUCCUUUUUGGUUUGAAACAAAACUUUCAAGGAAAUAUAUUUUGUUUUAGCUUAGACCAACUCAUUUUUCUCCAAUCACCUUUAAUUUUUAUUUUUUUUAGUGUGAGGGAUAAUUUCGAUAAUAAAUUUGGGAUUAACUUAUUCUACAUUUAAUAGGAGUUUUUUUGGUUCUAGGAUUAGUAAUUUUGGAAUUAAAAUUUAUGAGUUUCCAACAAUCUUAUUUUCUUUUUUCAAAAAAAAAAGAACAAAAGCUCAAUGCAUAGGCAUAUUCAAAAUUUAAGGAGAUAUUAACCCUCAUCAAGGAGGGCAAAAAAAUGCUUAAGUAGGUUCUAUCUCAAUCGCUGGAUCAAAAGCUUAUCUUGUUAACGAUUUCUAAUAUAUAUUUCUUUUAUAAAUAUUAUUAAAAAGUUGUAAAAAUUCGCAAUAAAAUUCUGAAUCCGUCAUUAUCUUAAUGCUUAUAUCGGAUAUCAGAUGAAAAAUAAAAUGGGCAACUCUUUGAAGACAAGUGCCAAUGUAGGCCAAAAUUUUACCACUAUAACAUCAACUCACAAUGGAGGACUUUUACAGUGGAUAGUAUUAUUAUUGUUUGUACCAAACUAUUAAUAAUUGCAGGUAACAUGUUAUGGUCCCAAACACUAUAUGUUGUAGUCAUAAAUUCACUUGUUUUUAGUACAAUCUAACAUGCAUAUGUUAUAGUAAUUAUUUCAUUUUUUUUUUUGCCUUUUCGUACGAUUGCUUAUUAUUCUGUUGAAAAUAAUAAUUUCUGAUUAAGAUUAAAAAUCAUUUCGAAUUUCAAUCUUGACAUGUCUAGAUUCUUUCUUUUAUACAAUUCUUGCACUUGUAUAAAAAUAUUUAGAUAUCAAACCUCUGUUCAAACAAUAUCUUACGUGUAUUUUUACAGGCACGAGAUUGUGGGCGUGGUAACCGAGGUCGGUAGCAAGGUAGAAAAAGUGAAGGUGGGGGACAAUGUAGGUGUUGGAGUACUCGUAGGAUCAUGUCAAAAAUGUGAUAGUUGUACCAAUGACCUCGAACAAUAUUGUCCUAGCCACAUUGGUACGUAUAGUACAACUUAUUCUGACGGAACCACCACAUACGGAGGCUACUCCGAUCUCAUGGUGGCCAACGAGCAUUUCGUGCUCCGUUGGCCGGAGAAUUUACCGAUGGAAGCUGCCCCAUUGUUGUGUGCUGGUAUCACAACAUAUAGCCCAUUGAAAUAUUUUGGGCUUGAUAAGGCUGGAUUGAACAUUGGAGUUGUGGGCCUUGGUGGGCUGGGCCAUAUGGCUGUAAAAUUUGCAAAGGCUUUUGGAUGCAAUGUGACUGUUAUUAGUACUACUAUUAAUAAGAAGGAUGAAGCAAUUAAACAUCUUGGUGCUAAUUCAUUCUUGAUUAGUCAUGAUCAAGAACAAAUGCAGGUAUUUUCUCUAUGUUUAUGCUUGAAAAUUACAAUUAUUAUACACUUAUUAACUAGUUUGGCAUCUCGAUAUCGACUAUAUAUUUGCCAUCUAAGAACUAUAAGAUGUAUUAAGUUGGAUGUCGUUCGCCUAUUAAAACGGUAUGAGUAUACAUGUCGUAUUAUAAAUCCUCUAAUGUUUGCUUGGAUUAAGAUGUGUCGGUCAAUGUUCUCUUCGUUUUAAUUUGUUUGUCUGAUUUUAACUUGACACAAAAUUUUAGAAAGUAAACAGAUUUUUGAAUUUGUGGUCUUAAACUAAUGGCAUGUCGAAUUACUAAAAUGUCCUUCAGUCUUGUGGUCUUAAAUUAGCUAAUGCUUGUCGAAUUGUAUUACUUAUUUUACAUAACUAUAUCGUGAAUAUGUGAGUAUCGUAUAGUGUACGAAUUGACGAUCAUAUAUGUGGAUAUCAAAUAUCGUAUGAGUUAUUAUUAUUAUUAUUUUGCAGGGUGCAACAAGCACAUUAGAUGGAAUUAUAGACACAGUUUCAGCAGAACAUCCAAUUGCUCCAUUGCUCAAUAUAUUAAAGCCUCAUGGAAAGCUUGUAAUGGUUGGUGCACCACCAAAGCCACUUGAGUUGCCAGUUUUCCCUUUGCUUAUGGGUAAAAUAAAUAAAUAAUCUUUACUGAAUUUUCUUGGCGGAAUACAUCGAUAUCUCAUGUUAAUAAAUUUUAUUUAGACACUCGAGCGAUUGUUUGUCUCAAUUGAGUACCUAAAUAGAAGAUAAAGUGUUAAUACUUGAUAUUAGACACUUUCAGCUCAAAAAUUGGGAAGUCUCCUCGUGUGUUUUUACAACUGUCAGUUACGUAGAUAAGUAUAACCCUAAAAAUAUAUCACUUUUGUUAAUUAUAUGUAUUAGCCUCAAUAAGUCGUAAAACCUCAGACUUAUUCCAACUUGAGGUUGAUGUAUAUAAUUAAAGGAGAUGACCUUUUAUAUAGUUAACUUAUUUACAUGAUAGGCCUUGAGAAUACACGCAAAAGCUUUUCUAAAAUUUGAAUCGGUAAUAUGAACACUUUAUCAUCAUGUAUUCAGAUGUUCAAUUAAAAUAUGUCAUAAUUUGAAUUCUACAUAAAAUUUAUUAGAAUGUUUAAGGGUUUAUCAAUGUAUUCCGCCAAUUUUCUUAAUUCUCUUUUUAUUUCUUUAUAAUUUGGAUUCUUCAAUAUUCAGGUAGGAAAAUAAUGGGAGGAAGCAUUAUUGGAGGAAUGAAAGAGACACAAGAAAUGCUUGACUUUGCAGCAAAGCAUAAAAUUACACCUGAAGUUGAAGUUGUUUCAAUGGAUUAUGUAAAUAUUGCUAUGAAACGCCUUUCGAAAUCAGAUGUCAAGUAUCGAUUUGUGCUCGAUGUUGGGAAAACAUUGAAAGUUGACUAAAUGUGCAUGCAAACUGGUCUGAAUACUAUUGUUAUGAAUUUAAAAUAAAACCGACAUUUUAUGGCCAAAAUAGUAGAUUUUUGGCCAUUAGGGUGUUUUCACCCUUAAAUAUUUGUUAUUUUGGAUUCCUAAUCUUCAAAUUUGUUUUUAUAUAUUUGAAUUCAGUUGCAUUUUGACCCAUCAAGUUACGCUAUUUUGACAUGUUUGAUCCAAUAAUUUGAUAUGGCAUGUCCAUUAGCCAAUUUUUUUUUUUCAUAAUUCUCAAUCUUUAAAUUUGAUUUUUCUCAAGAUUUUGAAUUCUAGUCUUUUAAAAUUAUCGAUAUCUAAUUAUUUUGUUUAUAUAUAUUAAAUAAAAAAUUGCGCUAAAUUUAUUGAAUUAUACGAACUCAUACGGUAAAAUGGUUUAUGAAAAAUCUUUUUAUUUUUUUGUGUUUGAUAUGUAAAUAAAAAAUAUUAUUCUAAAAAUGUUUAUAUAUAAUAUAGAAAAAUAUUAUGGAAGGUAAUGAUGUGAAAUGGUGAGAAUGACAAAGUCUACCGUGAUAAAAAUGAAGAUAAGGUGUACUGAAAGCCGAAAGGUCGGCUGAAAUAACAUUAUAAUAUUACUUAUAAAACUUAUUUCUUAAUUCCACUAGAAGAAAUUAUAUUCCUCGUUUUUAAAAAAUAUGCUCUCUUAAAAAAUUGUUGUCCAAAAAUUUAACUAAUUCAACAUUUUAAAAAAAUAAAAAAUAUUUUCUUUCCUACCAAACAAAUAUUAUGCAAUUAUAUCUAUCACAUGCAUCAAGAAUUCAAUAUUAUGCAAUUAUAUCUAGCACAUGCAUCAAGAUAUGCACCCAUAAUUUGUCCAUAUCUUAAUUGUAUUAAUUGGAAGUACUUUUUCGUAAUAGUAGUGUCUGGUUAGUUUAGGUGUAUUUUAAUUAAUAAUCAUUUUAUUAAAUAUCUUUUCUAGAUUAAAUCGUGUGUUAAAUCUUAUGAUUCCUCAUCCACUUCAUUGUCCAGUACUAAAUCAUAUUCUCUGGUGCUAUUAAUUAUUUUAGUUAAAUAAAAAUAUAUUUUAAUUAAUGACGGUUAAGUGAUAAAAAUAUACAUAAAAGAUCAUGUGAUGCAUUUAUUUUGUUAAUGUAGUAAAAAUUAGUUGUUAGAUUUAAAAAAACAGUCUAACAAGAACCAAAAUUGAUUGCAAAUAAUUGUCUUUAUAUUAACUUUCAUCAAACUUGGUAGUUGCACCAUUAUGACAAUCAUUUACUACAUUUCUCUAACUUUACAACUACUUUUACCCUCAAAAAUACCUAUUCAUUAGGCCUCAUAUCCACAUAUCCUUCUAUCUCAAAUUAUCUAUCGUGGUUAUUUAAAAAAAAAAAAAAUCAAAUUAUUUGUCUUUUCAAAACUUUAAAACUUUUCUUUAAUUUUAUCCUUAGUAUUAUUAUUCUUGAAAACUGCAAAUACUGAUGACACGUUAUAAAUAGAAAAAAAUACUUAAUGAAGAAAGAUUAUAUCUCAAGAUCAGAUAAAUAAGCACAAAAUAAUCAAAAACUCCUUCUAACUAAAUUUUUUUUUUAAGGAUAAUGUGAGAAAAAAAAAAAAAAACACGACAAAUAAUUCGAGACGGAUAAUAAAAAUUUGCCUUUGCCUCAACUCCAUUAAAUAUUUUUUUUGAAACAAGUAAAAAUAGCAAUAAAAGCAAAAACCUUAUCAAACUAGUAUAAAUAUUGGCUUUCCCUUUGAGUUUCCUCAGUCUCAUCUAGGCAUUCAUAGUUUUAAUAUUUUAUAUAUCUAGCUAUUUUCUUUGGGUUAUAUUUUUUUAUUUAUUUUGUUGAAAUGGCAAAAUCCCCAGAAGAAGAACAUCCAAUUAAGGCUUUUGGAUGGGCAGCUAGAGAUACUUCUGGUGUUCUUACUCCUUUCAACUUCUCAAGAAGGUACUCAUUAUGUUAUUACAAGUCCAAAUUAUAGUUCUAUAUGUAUAAAAAAAAAAUCAAAAUUUUAAGUUAUAUAAAUUGACAGUGCAAAAUUAUUAUUUUUGUUAUAAAUUAUAUAAUGUAGUUUAACUUAUCAUAGUAUGUUAGUUAUCAUUCUUAUAUGACUACAAAUUAAUGGUUCUCAUAUGACAUAUAUCUUAUAUAAUUAAUCUAAUUGUGUAAAUAUUUUCUUUUGCAUUGAAUUUAGUACAUCCCUCCUUUGAAGGGAAGUCUUUGAGCAACUGUAAAAUUGUCUCUAUGUGAUCUAUAGGUUGAUCACAAGUUCGAACUAUGGAAUCAUGACUAUUAGAAACAUAGGCUUUUCUCAUUGCGAAUCAAUGAGAAAAUUGUGUUAUAAAACAUGAUUUUCUCAUCUAUUUAUCACCGAACCAGCUCACUAGCUAGGAAAAUGCAUUAUGAAAAACAGAUUCAUUCUUACUGAAAUACUGAAAGCUUCCUAAUUUUUUCGUGUAAAAACACUAUUAAUUUUUCUUUUCUCACCAAUUCAAUCAAAAUAAUUGUGGCACUACAACAAAAAAUAACUUUUAGCGGCAAUAAAUAGACACAUUAAUAAAGAGUGCUAAAGUUUUUACCGGCAUUAGUUAAGUGCCACUAGAUCUGAUGUCGUUUAAGGCUUUAGGAACAUAUACAAAGAGUGUUAAUUGCCGCUAAAAGUACAUAUUUAGCGGCAAUUAAGAUAUUGUCAUUAUUUAAUUGCCGAUGAAUAUAAUUUUUGAUGUAGUGUGGGAAUAGGCACGGAAUGUUUUUUAGGUGGAAAUUUUUAAUGGAAAAAUAGUGAUUUUUAGUAGUGCAAUCCUUUUCUGAUCUGUGUGAACACGAGAUGCUUUGUGUACUAUUUAGAAAAAUGAUUUAAUGUAUGUAUGGUGCAGGGCUACUGGGGAGAAAGAUGUGCAAUUCAAGAUCUUGUAUUGUGGAGUUUGCCACACAGAUCUUCACUUUCUCAAGAAUGAAUGGGGAGUCACCAGAUAUCCUGUUGUACCUGGGUAACAAGUUCACUUUAUCUAAUAAAUACUCAUUAAGAUUUAAUUAGUAAUUUUUGUACUUUUAAUCUGUCGUAGCAGCUAACUUAUCUUAAUUUAUACUUCCAUUUUAUUCUUAGUAAAUUAUUUUUGAAGACUACAAAUACCUUAAUUGAUGAAGAUGAUGCAUAACUAGAGUAAAUAUUCAAUGAAGAGUGAUUUUAUCGAUCUUAAAAUAUAUAUAUAUAUAUAUAUAUAUAUAUAUAUAUAUAUAUAAAUNNNNNNNNNNNNNNNNNNNNNNNNNNNNNNNNNNNNNNUAUAUAUAUAUAUAAAAGCAUAAAAUAGUCCCAAAAAGAACUCUUAAUUAAUGUUUUUAGGGGCAUGUAAAAGAGAAUCACAGUCCCCGAGCUUCCGCACAUAUUAUUGAGACAAAUGAAGUAUAGCAAUUGUACUUGAACACUACACACAACUCCAUUAAUUGAGACGACACAUAAAUAGAGUAAAUAUUUUGUGGAGAGUGAUUGUAUUUUAAGACAUAAAUAAGGGUACAAUAAUAAGAAACUUCUCCUAAAUUAUGUUUUUUAACGGAUGUGUAAAAGCACAUCAUGACAAAUAAUUUCAGACGGAGAGAGGGAGGGAGUGGGUAAUAAAGUUAGCAUUUAAUGCUAACCUCCAAUGUAGGUGAACUAACAACAGAGUCAAUAACUAUACAAUAUACACCAUGUCCCUACUACAACUUGUUCCUAUUUAAUUUAUCAAUGUUACUAACAUUUAUGUACCCUUUUUUUUUUACUUCAUUUUUUUAAUUAUAGGCAUGAGAUUGUGGGUGUAGUGACAGAAGUUGGUAACAAAGUUGAUAAAUUUAAGAUUGGUGACAAAAUUGGUGUUGGAUGUCUAGUAGGAUCAUGUCAAAAAUGUGACAAUUGUGCAAAUGAUCUUGAAAAUUAUUGUCCCAAACAAAUACAAACAUAUGGUCAAAUGUACAUCGACGGAACGAUGACGUACGGUGGUUACUCCGAUAUCAUGGUUGUCGAUGAGCAUUUCGCGGUCCGUUGGCCGGAGAAUUUACCGAUGGAAGCUGCACCAUUGUUAUGUGCUGGUAUCACAACUUAUAGCCCAUUGAAAUAUUAUGGGCUUGAUAAGCCUGGUUUGAACAUUGGUGUUGUGGGCCUUGGUGGGCUGGGCCAUAUGGCUGUGAAAUUUGCUAAGGCCUUUGGGGCUAAUGUCACAGUUAUAAGUACUUCUCCUAGUAAAGAAGAGGAAGCCCUUAAACAUCUCGGUGCGGAUAAGUUUUUACUUAGCAACAAUCCUGAGCAAAUUCAGGUUUGUAUAAUUUGGGGAUUUUUGUCUAUGCAAUGUUGUUUUAAAUUAUAGGGGGGUAGUUGAGCAUGUCAGAUCAAAUUAAUAAACGAAUCAUGAUUCAGUCCAUUCGAAGUUGGUGUUUGGUCAAAAUAGGUCAAAAGUGAGUCAUAACAUGUUUCAAAUCUAGCUUAUUUGGUUAAACUUUAAAAUUCUACUUAUUUUGAAAAGUGUUUUUACUUAUAACUACUUUUCAAAAAGUAAUUUUAAAGAAAACAGUUUGUGUUUUGAUAAUCAUUUUGAAAAAUGCUUUUGCCAAUAUCAGUGCAAGCUAGUUGUAUUUGACCAAUAUUUCAAAAGACCUUCCGGAGACAAACUAUUUCUUUUCAACUUUUGCUACUAAAACACUUUUAAAAAGGAAAAAAAAAACUUGAACAAGUACCUCUACUUUGUCAAAUUAAAUCUUUUUGUAAAGUGAGAUACAAAACAUUUGACUGUUUAGAAGUUUGGUCAAACAUGCAUUUUAACCUGUCGUGUUACACUAUCAUGAUGGAUCAUUUUAGGUUCAACCAAAUCAACAAACUGAUCAUAACUUAACUUGUUUAAACUUGGACGGGUUAUUAAAAGAUUGAGCCGAUUUGUCACCUCUAGUUGAAAUUUAUGAUUUUUUUUAAAAAUCUUGAAUUAAUGUAACAGGGUGCAAUGAACACAUUGGAUGGAAUUAUUGAUACUGUUUCAGCAGUUCAUCCACUUUUACCAUAUCUUGGUAUGUUAAAGCCUCAUGGUAAACAUGUUAUAGUUGGUGCAAUUCCUCAACCACUUGAAAUGCCAGUGUUUCCUUUAAUCUUGGGUAAGUUUACUCUUCGAAUUCUAAGUUGACUUAGCUAAAGAUAGAACACAAUAUAAAUAAGUCCUAAUGUUUAUAGUUCGAUUUUGUAUAUUGGUCAUGAUACAUCAAUAUACAUUCAAAUUUAGUCUUAAAUAUAAAAUAUGCACGUCUAGACACCUCAACUCAUUUUCAUUGUGUCAGUUGAACAUUCCAACUUACAAAACGAUCAUCUAGACACUACUAGAAACAAAGGUUUUUCCCACGGCUGAUUAGUUGGAAAGUUAUGCUAUAGAUCAUAAUUUUCCAACCGAACCAACUUACUAGAAAAAUGCAUGGUGAAAAACAAUUUUUCAAUGAAAUAGUGAGAAACUUUCUGUAUGAAAACAUUAUUAUUAUUAUUUUUCCCACCAAUUCAAUCAAAAUAUUUAUCGGAAUAGACACACAUUUUCCAAUGGGAGAAUAGUGAUUGUUUAGUAGUGAGACACCUCUAAAAUUUAUGUGUCACGUCAGCAUAAGUGUCUACGAGACACAGUGGGGACGAGUUGGAGUGUUUAGUUGUCAAUUGAGACCAAGUUGAGAUGUCCAGAUAUGCACUCUCAAAGUUGAAAUAUAAUGUUUACUUGUCAUUUAAGGCCAAGUUUAAGUGUCUGUUUAAAUAUUAUGCCAGAUUACCGUUGUUGUUACGUACUCUUUAAACUAUUUAAGUUCAUAUUGAAGUAUAAGUGUAUAAUGUGGAAAACAGGAAGGAAGACAAUUGCUGGGAGUGCAAUGGGAGGAAUGAAAGAGACUCAAGAAAUGUUAGAUUUUGCAGCAAAGCAUAACAUAACACCAGAUGUUGAAGUCGUAGCGAUGGACUACGUGAAUACAGCAUUGGAACGUCUUGUUAAAUCCGAUGUCAAGUAUCGAUUCGUGCUAGAUAUGGGCAAAAAAAUGAACAAUGUUUAAUCUCAAAACCAAAUUUUUUUGGUUCUUGAAAAUCAUUGUUGAUCUUCUUGAUGUUGUGUGUGUUUUUUAAGAUGUCUUGUUUUAGUAUGUUAGUGUCUUUGCUUAGUUAUGUAAGUUAUUCACAACUUGAAAGACAAAUAAUUUGUUGUUUGCUUGUGUUCUUCACGGAUGCUCGCCAAAUAUAUCACUCUUCUUGCUAUUAUCAAAAUAAGAUGAAAGUUAUAAAUUGGUCAUUCUUGACUUAUGAUUUUGUGACUUAUAAGCACUGUUAAUCUGAUCAAUUUUUUUUACGAUUUCAUCUCUAAUUUUUUUUUGUAAUUUUCAAAUUUUAAAUAAAUGAAUGUGUAAAAAUAAAAUAGUCGCUCCUUGACCUAUUGUAGAGUGUAGACAUUGAAAUUUUGUGAGAUUUUACAAGACGUGUUCAAUUCGAAUUGGGACUCUAGAUGGUGUUCAAUUUCAAUUAGAAUUCUUGGAAGCUACUCAACCCUAAACCCUAGUUCAUGCCUAUAUAAAGGGUACUAAAUUCCCUUAAAAGACAUAUCGAUAUAUUCCAGAAAAGUUAUGGAAUAUUCAUAUAGAAGUCAAAUCUAAAUUAUUCUAGUUCGAGAAAUACGCCACUAAUGGCCCUCAUAUCAUGAAUAAACCUUAUGAGAGGAGAAUCAAGAAGGAACAGAAUUCUACCCGCACUAUUAUCAAUAAAAUAUUUAUGUUUCUUCAGAUUUUAUUUGUGUGAUUAAUUUAUUUUCCAUAUGUUUAAAAUUUAUCGCAAACACUUACAUAUACAAAUAUGUAAUUGUUUAUUUAGAGAAUCACACACUUAUAAUUAUCGAUUAUUUUUUUUAUAAUCAGCUAACAAUAUUGGAUUCCAAUUUCCAAAGUCAUUUUCAAAAUAAAUCCAUGUGUUCACAUUAUUAUUUAAUACUAUGAACUUGAUAAGAUAAGAUAAUUAAUUUCAUUGACCUUUUUUUACUUUAGAGAAAAUGACAGGAUAAUGACGGUAUAACAAACAUGAUUAACUUGUCUAAAUUAUGUUAAAGAAUUAACCAUCCCAUUUAAGAUGGUCAAUGUUAGGUCCGUGCGUAACCUAGUGAUUAAUAAAUUCAGUUGAAAAUUCUGAGAUUCAAGCCCACUUUUCUAUCAAAAUAAAAAAUAUUAGAUGACUUGUUUUCAAUUCGUUCAAAUUUUAUGAGCAAAAUUAAACAUAAGCAUGUUCAGAUAUUGCGAUUAUAAAAAAAAAAAUUAAAAAAAAUCAAUAUAUUCUGUCUAACGACUAUUCAAAAACAUCACUUUUUUUAGACAUCAUAACAACCAGUCCAUAUUGGCAACACUAUUGAAGAAUUUAGUUCUCUAAUACAUCACCAAUGACGUCAAUCUGUUCCACACUUUUCUUUUCUUUUUUCGUUCCGUAUUCGUAUUUAAGUCAGAUUAAAUCUGUGUUCGUUCAUUUUUUGGGGAUAACACUUUCAACAAGAUCUUAUCCAAUUUCAGAGGCUCGAGCUCAAAACCUCUAACCAAGAAUAAAACAAUCUCAAUCAUCUUAUUGUAAUUCAUGUUAAUAUCCGAAUUUGAUCCGACUAAAUUUAGAUUUGCAUAUUUUUAAAAUAAAAACAUGUUUAUUUAUUUAAACCUUUAAUUAAUGAAUAGCCAAUGAAUAGCCAGCCCAUCACUUGCACAUUAUUUCACCCAUUUUCUAUAGUUCCACCACCAAUAUUACUAUUAUAUAUUUGAACCACAACUUUAUUCCAUUCAACUUUUUCAACAAUAGUGAAAAAUUCAAGAAUUGAGUUAUGGAAAAAUCACCAGAAGAAGUGCACCCUGUAAAGGUUUUUGGUUGGGCAGCUACAGACACUUCUGGAACACUCUCCCCCUUUAAAUUCUCCAGAAGGUAUUAUUGAUCGGACUCUUCAAAAAUAUUUAUCAAUUAUUUUAAGGAUCUGACACGGUCGAAUAACAUUCAAUAUAGAUUUUUUAUUAAUACAAUAGCAACAUAUCCAGUAUAGUCCUAAAGUGGAGUCCGAGGAAUGUAGAGAGGUUGUUUUUGAUAGUAAAGCAGUCCAGAAAAAAAAAGUAACAGAAAUAAAUAUAGUAACUACGACAAAAUAAUAUGAUAGACGAAUUACGAGGUUUUGGUUAAUUUUUUGUUUUGUGUUUGCAGGGCUACUGGUGAUAAAGAUGUGAAAUUGAAGAUACUUUAUUGUGGUAUUUGUCAUACUGAUCUUCAUCAAUUGAAGAAUGAAUGGGGAUUUUCUAAAUAUCCUAUGGUUCCUGGGUAUGUUCUCAAAUCUUAUAUUAUUCAAAUUAUGACGGUUUUGAUCCUUUGGAACAACUCGAUGAAUUUAGUAGAUUGUUUUAGGAGGUCCUAAUGACUAUAGAUCGAAUCUAUCCAAUUUUUGAGUCAAUCCGCUAGUAGUAUUGUCUGCUUUGGGCCUAGGCCUGCACGACUUUAAAAUGCAUCACUAGUGGAUAAGGUCUGCUUACUUAUAUAUCAAACAUCUCUUAUGUGUUUUACCGAUAUGGGACUUCUUUAUCUUAAGUUGGGGUGUCACAAUAGUGGGGUCUCUAGAUGGUAGUUUACGCAAACCUUGCCCCUACCUCAAAGAUAUAGAGGUUUUUUUUUUGAUGGACCUUGGCUACGGUAUCACCAUAAAUUUAAAUAAGAGAAGUUGUUUUGCAACUGUAUGAAGUUCAAAGAAAAAUAAAUGAAACUAUUGAUUCUGAUGAAGUAUUUUUUGAGUUAUAGCAGCCAGAGUAAAUAGGAGGUUAGUAAGUUCAUUUACGUUUUCACGCAAAAAAUUUGUCCUCUGUCAAAACAUUAACGAUUUAACUUAUAUACACUGACAAUACAAAGAGAAUCUUGCAGUUCAUUAUAUCUUGACUUCUUGUAGCUGGUAAUUUGUCUUAUUUUUAGUGUCACUAAUCCUACGUUUUAUGGUUGGUUACCGUUAGUUAUCUUUUGAGUGACCUGAUAGUGUAAAAAUUCUAAUACAGACAUGAGAUUGUGGGUGAAGUAACUGAGGUUGGUAGCAAGGUGGAGAAAUUCAAACUUGGAGAUAAAGCUGGUGUGGGGUGUCUAGUUGGAUCAUGUCGAUCUUGCGAAAACUGUAACAACGAUAUCGAGAACUAUUGUUCUAAGGGAAUAGCCACCUAUAGUGCAAUGUACCAUGAUGGAACACCAACGUACGGAGGCUACUCGGACAUAAUCAUUGUUGAUGAACAUUUCGUUGUUCGUGUCCCAGAAAACAUGCCCCUAGCUGCUGCAGCUCCUCUGCUUUGUGCUGGAAUUACAACUUACAGCCCGUUGAGGUACUUUGGACUUGAUAAACCGGGGCUUCACGUUGGUGU
This 18671-nucleotide long non-coding RNA is filed under the name Solanum tuberosum (potato). RNAcentral's name for it is "long non-coding RNA (STUB_LNC010391)". The record is from RNAcentral. Lineage: Eukaryota; Viridiplantae; Streptophyta; Magnoliopsida; Solanales; Solanaceae.